UAGGGAAUCUUCCGCAAUGGGCGAAAGCCUGACGGAGCAACGCCGCGUGAGUGAUGAAGGUCUUCGGAUCGUAAAACUCUGUUAUUAGGGAAGAACAAAUGUGUAAGUAACUAUGCACGUCUUGACGGUACCUAAUCAGAAAGCCACGGCUAACUACGUGCCAGCAGCCGCGGUAAUACGUAGGUGGCAAGCGUUAUCCGGAAUUAUUGGGCGUAAAGCGCGCGUAGGCGGUUUUUUAAGUCUGAUGUGAAAGCCCACGGCUCAACCGUGGAGGGUCAUUGGAAACUGGAAAACUUGAGUGUAGAAGAGGAAAGUGGAAUUCCAUGUGUAGCGGUGAAAUGCGCAGAGAUAUGGAGGAACACCAGUGGCGAAGGCGACUUUCUGGUCUGUAACUGACGCUGAUGUGCGAAAGCGUGGGGAUCAAACAGG
This 429-nucleotide ribosomal RNA is filed under the name Actinomycetes bacterium. Its description in RNAcentral is "Actinobacteria bacterium partial 16S ribosomal RNA". It matches the Rfam family "Bacterial small subunit ribosomal RNA", at positions 355 to 776 of the family's 1533-position model. The record is from RNAcentral. Lineage: Bacteria; Bacillati; Actinomycetota; Actinomycetes.